Molecule: ribosomal RNA, 639 nt
Filed under: Triticum aestivum (bread wheat)
Lineage: Eukaryota; Viridiplantae; Streptophyta; Magnoliopsida; Poales; Poaceae
Description: partial small subunit ribosomal RNA
Source: RNAcentral
AUGGCAGUAUCUGUAGGAGUAAAAACACGGUCUUCAGAAAAGAUCGUGCUACCUGUCGAUGCAGAUAGAACCACGGUUGUACUUGCCCAAGAACCAGCCCCACCACACAUAACCCACACUCAUGCAUAUUGUACCCCUACCCAGUUGGACAGAGAACCAGCUACACCCCUUCUAACCCCAACCCCAGCAGAUAGACAACCAGUUCCCGUUGACACAGCACCGUCUCCACCACAGAGCACCCAAACACGAGCAGUUAGUAAGGCAACUGCAGUUCCCAAAUCACUAGGACCACCACUCCGAACCCGAAGUCAACGCUUAAAGCAGAAGAAGAAUUGUUCUCAGGAUGCAAUUGAAACUCCAAUGGCGCAACAAAACGCGGAUAAAAUAAUGGAGAAGAGUACCAUGUUAUGCAAUGGUAAAGGAAGUAAUGCAGAUAAGGUUCAAGAUAGUGAGACAUCCCUGUUGGUCUCCAAGAAAGCUGAUAAAAACUAUAGUGAAGACACUGAGACAACCCCAAAGUCCUGUCUUGAUGUAGUGUUCGAGUUACUGGCUACCACUGCUGGCACCAGCUCUUCGAACUCAUUGCCUGAAUCAGUUCGGCUUCUUGAGUCUCAACUUCAAGUUGGAAGACAUCGAUAA